UUUCGAAUCAUUCACAAUGGGCGAAAGCCUGAUGGUGCGACGCCGCGUGAGGGAUGAAGGCCUUCGGGUUGUAAACCUCUGUCACCGGGGAAGAAACGCUUCAAGUUAACAGCUUGAAGCCUGACUUAACCCGGAGAGGAAGCAGUGGCUAACUCUGUGCCAGCAGCCGCGGUAAUACAGAGACUGCAAGCGUUAUUCGGAUUCACUGGGCGUAAAGGGUGCGCAGGCGGCCAAAUGUGUGAGGCGUGAAAGCCCGGGGCUUAACCCCGGAAUUGCACCUCAAACUAUUUGGCUAGAGCAUUGGAGAGGGUAGCAGAAUUCACGGUGUAGCAGUGAAAUGCGUAGAUAUCGUGAGGAAUACCAGAGGCGAAGGCGGCUACCUGGACAAUUGCUGACGCUCAGGCACGAAAGCGUGGGGAGCAAAAGGG
Molecule: ribosomal RNA, 428 nt
Filed under: Microvirga ossetica
Lineage: Bacteria; Pseudomonadati; Pseudomonadota; Alphaproteobacteria; Hyphomicrobiales; Methylobacteriaceae
Also listed under: 1 other name
Description: partial 16S ribosomal RNA
Rfam family: Bacterial small subunit ribosomal RNA
Source: RNAcentral